CUCUCUUCUUCACGAGACCACUAAAAAUUAGGGUUUUCAGAUUUCUUCAAAUUUUGCGAAAUCUGGGUACUUCUCUCACAUAUCUUCUUCUCUCUUCUUCUUCUGUUAUUGAAAACGAGAAACCCAAAAAUUAGGGUUUUCAGAUCUAUGCUCCUUCUUCCUUCUCUCGCCGUUAUAAGAUCUACUCAUCUUCUAAACCGUAGAUAUGCCUUAUAGUUACUCCCAACCCUCCACAUCCGUAGCAAGCAUCAACAGUGGAGAAUGUAAUGCAGAUGCCAAUUAUGGUGUUCCCGAGAGGUGUUUCUGUGGUGAGAUGGUCAAACUUGAGCGAUGUCUAACAGGACAGCGCCAAGGAGAGCGCGUAUACAGAUGCCCAGUGCUUAAGGAUGGAGACGAAUAUAAGGAUAAUCGAGAUCACCUAGUUCAGUGGUGGGAUUGGGCGGUAACUGAGGAGCUGUCCAAGAUACACCA
Long non-coding RNA from Arabidopsis lyrata subsp. lyrata, 471 nucleotides. RefSeq lists it as uncharacterized. The record is from RefSeq and is a predicted model, not a curated record. Lineage: Eukaryota; Viridiplantae; Streptophyta; Magnoliopsida; Brassicales; Brassicaceae. The transcript has 3 exons.